AUUGAACGCUGGCGGCAGGCCUAACACAUGCAAGUCGAGCGAGCGGCGGACGGGUGCGUAAUGUAUGGGGACUGCCCGAUAGAGGGGGAUCACUACUGGAAACGGUAGCUAAUACGGCAUACUAUCGGAUAACCCAUAGUGGAUUAGCUAGUAGGUGAGGUAAUGGCGAACCUAGGUGACGAUCCCUAGCUGGUCUGAGAGGAUGAUCAGCCAGCCUGCGCCUGAUAGACGGCCCAGACGCCUACGGAGGCAGCAGUGGGGAAUAUUGCACAAUGUGCGCAAGCCUGAUGCAGCCAUGCCGCGUGUAUGAAGAAGGCCCUAGGGUUGUAAAGUACUUUCAGUCGGGAAGCGUUACCGACAGAAGAAGCACCGGCUAACUCCGUGCCAGACGCCGCGGUAAUAC
This 403-nucleotide ribosomal RNA is filed under the name uncultured bacterium. Its description in RNAcentral is "partial 16S ribosomal RNA". It matches the Rfam family "Bacterial small subunit ribosomal RNA", at positions 30 to 526 of the family's 1533-position model. The record is from RNAcentral.